RNAcentral lists this ribosomal RNA (849 nucleotides) under uncultured bacterium. RNAcentral's name for it is "bacterial SSU rRNA". It matches the Rfam family "Bacterial small subunit ribosomal RNA", at positions 8 to 848 of the family's 1533-position model. The record is from RNAcentral.
AGAGUUUGAUCCGGCUCAGAACGAACUCUGGCGGCGCGUCUUAAGCAUGCAAGUCGGGCGGGAUCCAUGCGCUUGCGCAUGGUGAGAGCGGCGGACUGGCGAGUAACACGUGGGCGACGCGCCCUCCGGACGGGAAUAGCCUGUAGAAAUACAGGGUAAUGCCGGAUGCGAACGCGCGCGCUGGAGGCGCGCGUGGAAAGCCCUCACGGGGGCGCCGGAGGAGCGGCCCGCGGCCCAUCAGCUUGUAGGCGGUGCAAGGGACCACCUAGGCUACGACGGGUACCCGGCCUCAGAGGGCGGACGGGCGCAUUGGGACUGAGAUACGGCCCAGACUCCUACGGGAGGCAGCAGCUAAGAAUAUUCCGCAAUGGGGGGAACCCUGACGGAGCGACGCCGCGUGGGCGAGGAAGGCCGGAAGGUUGUAAAGCCCUUUUGCGCGCGAGGAAUAAGGGGAGGAGGGAAUGCCUUCCCGGUGACUGUAGCGCGCGAAUAAGCGCCGGCUAAUUACGUGCCAGCAGCCGCGGUAACACGUAAGGCGCGAGCGUUGUUCGGAAUCAUUGGGCGUAAAGGGCGUGUAGGCGGCCCUGCAAGCCUGGCGUGAAAUCCCGGGGCUCAACCCCGGAACCGCGCUGGGAACUGCUGGGCUGGAGCCGCUGUGGCGCAGCCGGAAUUCCAGGUGUAGGGGUGAAAUCUGUAGAUAUCUGGAAGAACACCGAUGGCGAAGGCAGGCUGCGAGCGGACGGCUGACGCUGAGGCGCGAAGGCGCGGGGAGCGAACAGGAUUAGAUACCCUGGUAGUCCGCGCAGUAAACGAUGCACACUGGGUGUCCGGGGCUGAACCCGGGUGCCG